Molecule: unclassified non-coding RNA, 878 nt
Filed under: Bombus terrestris (buff-tailed bumblebee)
Lineage: Eukaryota; Metazoa; Arthropoda; Insecta; Hymenoptera; Apidae
Description: misc RNA ENSBTSG00005026379.1
Source: RNAcentral
UAUUGCCCAUCGCUAGCUAUACAUUUUUCCCACCUGUCUGGCAAUUGGUGGAUGCCACGCCAAAAAAACUGUCGCUCUUUUGAGGCAAACCAGUCAUCAUGCCAUUUUCGUAAGAAAUGAAGUGCUGGUCAGAAAGUGCGUGCUCCAUCGAUGCAAAUAAAUAGUAAUCGGGCGGAGCCAAGUCUGAAUCAGUUUACGUGCACUUUUGAUGUUGUCAUCAGUCGUGGAUGCAGACGACCUUCCGGUUCCUUCUUCAUGACUGACACCUGUGCUACGUUCUUUGAACUUCUAUAUCCAUUCAAACACAGUUGCUCGUGACAAAACGCUUUCGAAAUACUGUGCACAAAGUGUUCGAUAAAUAUCCGCACCAGACACGCUCUCCAAUCACAAAAUACGAAUCGUUUCAUGCUACUCUUUUUUCGUGCAAAUCACAAGUGGGGCAUCCACAAAUGAAUUGACGUAACACGUUCAAAACCUGAACAGCGUUGACUUAAAAGAUAGUGAUGUUAUACGAAAAGUGCAGAUAGGACAGUACGGCCAACAGAAGUUCUAAAUAUAACUGGAAUAUAACCGAAGUGCGGAUAAGUUUUGACUCGCUUUCCCCACACACACAAAAUUCGCACAGGUACUCAACUCUUCUUAAAGAUAAGGAUUAGUUAGAAUUGCAUGGUGUUGGGAAUUUUAUAAAUAAUUAUUGCAGAAGUACCUCUAAGCCUGCGAUGAAAGACGCAAGGCUAGAAAGAGAUUGCUUUCCGCUUCCUCCAACACCAACAAGCAAUGCGUUUCCUCUUGGUGACUCCAGAAUGCGAUUUAUUUGACAAACCUGGUACAUAGCAUCUUCGAAUAAAACCAGAUUCAUUGCCGCUACCUACUCCAAG